RNAcentral lists this ribosomal RNA (433 nucleotides) under uncultured bacterium. RNAcentral's name for it is "bacterial SSU rRNA". It matches the Rfam family "Bacterial small subunit ribosomal RNA", at positions 355 to 786 of the family's 1533-position model. The record is from RNAcentral.
UGAGGAAUAUUGGUCAAUGGGCGGGAGCCUGAACCAGCCAAGCCGCGUGAGGGAUGAAGGCCCUAUGGGUUGUAAACCUCUUUUGUCAGGGAACAAAAGCGAGUAUGUAUACUAGUCUGAGUGUACCUGAAGAAAAAGCAUCGGCUAACUCCGUGCCAGCAGCCGCGGUAAUACGGAGGAUGCGAGCGUUAUCCGGAUUUAUUGGGUUUAAAGGGUGCGUAGGCGGCGAUGCAAGUCAGCGGUAAAAGCCCGGGGCUCAACCCCGGCGAGCCGUUGAAACUGCAGUGCUAGAGAAGGCGAGAGGUACGCGGAAUGCGCAGUGUAGCGGUGAAAUGCUUAGAUAUUGCGCAGAACUCCGAUUGCGAAGGCAGCGUACUGGCGCCUGACUGACGCUGAGGCACGAAAGCGUGGGGAUCGAACAGGAUUAGAUACC